UCCGGGCGCGGCCCCGGGACGCGGCCGCCUGCGGCCCCCAGGCCCAGCACUUCCUCAGCUGCGCCCACAGCGUCACCCGCCAGCAUUCCCGGGAUUCCAGCCCCGAUCCCGGCCGGAAUUCCACACCCGGAGAGAAUCCCUGCAAUUAAAACUCCUCCGGAAAAGCCUCGGAACCUCCCGGAACCUUCUGGAAUUUCCCCUCUGGAAAAGGGAAUCCGGGAUCCCGAAUUUCCGGAACAUUCCCGGAAUUUGGAUCCCAAAAAUUGGAAAAAAAAAAAAAAGAAAAAUAAAAAAAUUCCAGCGGGAAUUUCCCCGGGAAGGGGCCAAAAAUUGGGAUUUUCCUUCUUUGUAUUCCCAAAUUUUCUUUCUUUUUAUUCCAAAUUUUCCCUCCUUUUUUCCCAAAUUUUUCUCUUUUUUAUUCCAAAUUUUUCCCUCCUUUUUUCCCAAAUUUAUUCCAAAUUUUUUCCUCUUUUUUUUCCCAAUUUUUUCUCCUUUUUUCCCAAAUUUUUCUUUUUUAUUCCCAAAUUUUCCUCCUUUUUUCCCAAAUUUUUCUCUUUUUAUUCCCAAUUUUUCCCUCCUUUUUUCCCAAAUUUAUUCCCAAUUUUUUUCUCCUUUUUUCCCAAAUUUUCCUCAUUUUUCCCCCCAUUUUCCCUCUUUUUAUUCCCAAAUUUUCCCUCCUUUUUUCCCCAAUUUUUCUCUUUUUAUUCCCAAAUUUCCCCUCCUUUUUCCCCAAAUUUUUCCCCCUUUUUAUUCCCAAUUUUCCCUCCAAAAUGCCCCCAAAAUUCCCGGGAAUUCCAACCCCACCCCCCCAAAAAAAUUCCCAAAACUUUCCCCAUUUAUUUUAUUUUAUUUUUAUUUUAUUUUAAUUUUUAUUUUUUCCUGGGAUUUUAUUUCAAAUCCUCCAGAAAAUUCCCAAAAAAAAUCGGGAGAAGGGGGAAAAUCCCAAAUUCCGGCCGAUCCCGGUUUUUGGGAAUUCUGGGAUUGGGAAUUUUUGGGAUUUCUGGGAAUUCUGGGACUGGAAUUUCAGGGAAUUCCCUGGAUUGGGAUUCCCAGAAUUUCCCAGGAUUGGGAAUUUUGGGAUUUCUGGGAAUUCCAGGAUUGGGAUUUUUGGGAUUUUUGGGAUUUCUGGGAUUGGGAAUUUUUGGGAUUCCCUGAAUUCCCAGGAUUGGGAAUUUUGGGAUUUCUGGGAAUUCCAGGAUUGGAAUUUUUGGGAUUCCUGGGAUUGGGAAUUUUGGGAUUUCUGAGAAUUCUGGGGUUGGGAUUUCAGGGAAUUCCCUGGAUUGGGAAUUUUGGGAUUUCUGGGAUUGGGAAUUUUGGGAUUCCUGGGAUUUUUGGGAUUGGGAUUUUUUGGGAUUCCCAGAAUUUCCCAGGAUUGGGAUUUUUGGGAUUCCUGGGAUUGGGAAUUUGGGGAUUUCUGGGAUUUUUUGGGAUUCCUGGGACUGGAAUUCCCAGGAUUCCGGGGAUUUCUGGGAAUUCCGGCGUUCCCGGGCUGUCAGGAGGUGAAGUAGGAGCUGUGCAUGGAGCAAAGGCGCUCCAGGGCAUUCCCGGGCUCCGGAAUUCCCGGAAUUCUGGGAUGGAGCUGCUCCAGGGGAUUCCCAAACUCUGGAAUUCCAGGAAUUCCAGGAUUGAGCCGCUCUAGGGCAUUCCCGGGCUCCGGAAUUCCGGGCUGGAGCUGCUCCCAGCCAUUCCCAGGCUCCAGAAUUCCGGGAAUUCCAGGAUAGGGGCGCUCCAGGGCAUUCCCAAACUCCGGAAUUCCGGGAUGGAGCUGCUCCAGGGGAUUCCCGGGCUCCGGAAUUCCAGGAUGGAGCCACUCCCAGCCAUUCCCAGACUCCAGAAUUCCGGGAAUUCCAGGAUUGAGCCGCUCCAGGGCAUUCCCGGGCUCCGGAAUUCCCGGAAUUCUGGGAUGGAGCUGCUCCAGGGGAUUCCCAAACUCUGGAAU
RNAcentral lists this long non-coding RNA (1939 nucleotides) under Cyanistes caeruleus (blue tit). RNAcentral describes it as "lncRNA (ENSCCEG00000000142.1)". Lineage: Eukaryota; Metazoa; Chordata; Aves; Passeriformes; Paridae. The record is from RNAcentral.